Molecule: long non-coding RNA, 285 nt
Organism: Hermetia illucens (black soldier fly)
Lineage: Eukaryota; Metazoa; Arthropoda; Insecta; Diptera; Stratiomyidae
Exons: 3
Source: RefSeq, a predicted model, not a curated record
CGCCGAAACGUGAAUACACUUUGAUAGUAGUGGAAAUCGGUGCCUUACUUACUCUACUCUAAAUGAAUGUUAGAAAUGGCAGCCUUACAAAAAUUUGUUUGCGCCAGGUUUUUUUCAAGAACUGUAAAAUCUGUCGCAUGCAGUGUGUGCCGUGGUUUUGUGUGAAGUUUAAAGGGGGCCCUAAACAAGCAAAGUGGUCUAAGUUCUUAUAUCGGGUGCAAAAUAGGGGAGUAGUGGGUCAAAAACUAUAAAUGUUAAGUGAGAAGUUCAGAAACUAUGCAACCG